AAUUCUGGCCAAUGGCUAUCAUCGUAGUUGAUGAGAUUACCCAUGAAAUUUACAGAGCUUCCUCUCUUCGGCCUCAUUCCUUACAGCUUUAUGUUAGGACCAAAAAUCCCAAUGGCACCAACGGAUUCAACAUUCCAAUGGCUGAGCUUUCAAAAAGUAGUCACCAUGGAAUCCCACAGACCCCCACAUGAAUGACGAUGGAGAAAUGCUGUGUACACACUGCCCAGCAAAUGGCGGUUGUACCUUGCAGACAGACAUCAGGAACAGGGAAUUUGGGAGUUCCUGUCGAAGUGCCAGUUCAUGGAAGUGCCAGUUCAUGCAGCUUCAUGUGGCAUCAAAAGAGUUCCUGUCGAAGUGCCAGUUCAUGCAGCUUCAUGUGGCAUCAAAAGCUGCUGCAACAUGCUUGCGUGUCUACAUCUGCCCUCUGAAAGGUGCACUUGUGGAUCACAGCCAAGUGGAGUAGUGCAGGAUCUAGCAUGCUUGUCACACAGGCAACCAUGACUGUUGGAGGAAAACCAGAAUCUGGGUUCAGAAGGGACAACUGCACAGACACGUACUGGGUUCUGAGGAGCUUCCUGGAAAAGUUUCAUUAACAGUAUUUCAAUGUAAAAAUGAAAUAUUUGCAACUAAUUGUGUUUUCAGUUUUU
This is a long non-coding RNA of Anguilla anguilla (European eel), 647 nucleotides long. RefSeq lists it as uncharacterized. The record is from RefSeq and is a predicted model, not a curated record. The transcript is spliced from 11 exons. NCBI's taxonomy places the organism in Eukaryota, Metazoa, Chordata, Actinopteri, Anguilliformes, Anguillidae.